Molecule: non-coding RNA, 250 nt
Filed under: Ruminococcus flavefaciens
Lineage: Bacteria; Bacillati; Bacillota; Clostridia; Eubacteriales; Oscillospiraceae
Description: T-box sequence
Rfam family: T-box leader
About the family: Uncharged tRNA acts as the effector for transcription antitermination of genes in the T-box leader family. T-boxes are found upstream of many aminoacyl-tRNA synthetase genes and some amino acid biosynthetic genes usually in Gram-positive bacteria.
Source: RNAcentral
GAAAAUGCUAUGAAGGGAAACAAAGCUUGUGUGAGUUUUCACAGAGAGCCGACGGCUGGUGAAAGUCGGCAGACAAAUACAGGUCAUAACUCCUCCCCGAGCAGCCGUCCCAAAGGCGCAGACCGCGUCAAGUAGGCACGGACGGGCUCUCCCGUUACAGAGAUAUGCGUUGAUCCGACGCAGAUGAGUGGGUGUAUUCUUACAUCAAGAAGAGUGGUACCACGGAGUAUAUUGCAGCUUCGUCUCUUCC